This 73-nucleotide transfer RNA is filed under the name Vicugna pacos (alpaca). RNAcentral's name for it is "tRNA-Ala (AGC) (tRNA-Ala-AGC-436-1)". It matches the Rfam family "tRNA". Rfam says of the family: Transfer RNA (tRNA) molecules are approximately 80 nucleotides in length. Their secondary structure includes four short double-helical elements and three loops (D, anti-codon, and T loops). Lineage: Eukaryota; Metazoa; Chordata; Mammalia; Artiodactyla; Camelidae. The record is from RNAcentral.
GGAGGGUAUAGCUCAGUGGUAGAGCACAUGCCUAGCAUGCAUGAGGUCCUGGGUUCAAGCCCCAGUACCUCCA